UACAGGGGGGGCAAGCGUUGUUCGGAAUUACUGGGCGUAAAGGGCCAGUAGGCGGCCAACUAAGUCCGACGUGAAAUCCCCAGGCUUAACCUGGGAACUGCGUCGGAUACUGGAUGGCUUGAAUUCGGGAGAGGGAUGCAGAAUUCCAGGUGUAGCGGUGAAAUGCGUAGAUAUCUGGAGGAAUACCGGUGGCGAAGGCGGCAUCCUGGACCGACAUUGACGCUGAAAGGCGAAAGCUAGGGGAGCAAACGGG
This 253-nucleotide ribosomal RNA is filed under the name uncultured bacterium. RNAcentral's name for it is "partial 16S ribosomal RNA". It matches the Rfam family "Bacterial small subunit ribosomal RNA", at positions 524 to 776 of the family's 1533-position model. The record is from RNAcentral.